Molecule: microRNA precursor, 96 nt
Filed under: Pteropus alecto (black flying fox)
Lineage: Eukaryota; Metazoa; Chordata; Mammalia; Chiroptera; Pteropodidae
Description: mir-544 microRNA precursor family
Rfam family: mir-544 microRNA precursor family
Source: Rfam by way of RNAcentral
AGCACUUGGAUCUUGUUAAAACGCAGGCUCUGAUUCAAUGGGUGAAGCACUGGGCCUGAGAUUUUGCAUUUCUAACAAGCUCCCAGGUGAUGCUGA